RNAcentral lists this ribosomal RNA (484 nucleotides) under uncultured bacterium. RNAcentral's name for it is "partial 16S ribosomal RNA". It matches the Rfam family "Bacterial small subunit ribosomal RNA", at positions 30 to 507 of the family's 1533-position model. The record is from RNAcentral.
AUUGAACGCUGGCGGCAGGCCUAACACAUGCAAGUCGAGCGGAUGAAGGGAGCUUGCUCCUGGAUUCAGCGGCGGACGGGUGAGUAAUGCCUAGGAAUCUGCCUGGUAGUGGGGGAUAACGUCCGGAAACGGGCGCUAAUACCGCAUACGUCCUGAGGGAGAAAGUGGGGGAUCUUCGGACCUCGCGCUAUCAGAUGAGCCUAGGUCGGAUUAGCUAGUUGGUGGGGUAAAGGCCUACCAAGGCGACGAUCCGUAACUGGUCUGAGAGGAUGAUCAGUCACACUGGAACUGAGACACGGUCCAGACUCCUACGGGAGGCAGCAGUGGGGAAUAUUGGACAAUGGGCGAAAGCCUAAUCCAGCCAUGCCGCGUGUGUGAAGAAGGUCUUCGGAUUGUAAAGCACUUUAAGUUGGGAGGAAGGGCAGUAAGUUAAUACCUUGCUGUUUUGACGUUACCAACAGAAUAAGCACCGGCUAACUUCGUG